AUAAUUUAUUUGUAGUGGGAUGCUGCUUAACACUUUAAAUCAUUUUUGUCAACAGUCAUCAUCACAACUACACAGAAGUUAACACCAUCAAGAAGACAAAAUAUGAUCCUUUACACAAUGCAUGUUACAUAGAUAAAUGGUCCACACAUACCACAGGUCAUUAACAACAGUUGAUGUUUAUCACUAGGAUUGCAUGGACAUUACAGUUUAAAACAUUAAGUCUUCGGAUGCUAUGUGUUACAAAACCGUUGGAACUAUCGGCCUUCUUUCACUCACAGCAGUAUCAGAAGUCCCGAAGAAGCCUGAAGGUGCCUUUUUUGCAUUGAAAAUGAAAACAGUGUGUUAUUGCUAAAGGAAGACUUUCUUACUGAUUGGUCAACAAAUGAGAGAGAUUGGGAAUUUAAUUUGGACUGUAGCGAUGACGACUUGCGAUGUCUGUAUUGGGAUCCUUUGUGCGUUUACUUUGUUUUUCACACAUGUGAACUACGGAGGGUCACAUUCUGCAACUAAUUCAGGUAAUAAUACUUAAUAACAGUUAAAUUAAUAUUAAUUAUACGUUAUUAACCUAUUGUCAAUUUGGACGUACUCGAACAUAAUGCUUAGGAUGACGAGCAUAUGCUACUUAUGUACAUAAUAUCGUCAGAUUAUUUUAUAUAGGUCAUUUUUGUUGGGGUUGUAGAUAAUUGCGAACUUCAGUCUACCAAAUUUUUUCUAAAAAGGCUUGGUUGAUGUUUAUAGCUCCACUAC
This 747-nucleotide long non-coding RNA is filed under the name Agrilus planipennis (emerald ash borer). RNAcentral describes it as "uncharacterized LOC112905555, transcript variant X1". Lineage: Eukaryota; Metazoa; Arthropoda; Insecta; Coleoptera; Buprestidae. The record is from RNAcentral.